UGCUCUGAUUAAAUCACAAAUAGGAAGUGCCCUCAGCAGUGAUAACUGGUGAUAAUUCUGGGCUGAAG
This is a small nucleolar RNA of Ailuropoda melanoleuca (giant panda), 68 nucleotides long. NCBI's taxonomy places the organism in Eukaryota, Metazoa, Chordata, Mammalia, Carnivora, Ursidae. The record is from Ensembl.